This 497-nucleotide ribosomal RNA is filed under the name uncultured bacterium. Its description in RNAcentral is "partial 16S ribosomal RNA". It matches the Rfam family "Bacterial small subunit ribosomal RNA", at positions 28 to 507 of the family's 1533-position model. The record is from RNAcentral.
GAUGAACGCUGGCGGCGUGCCUAAUACAUGCAAGUCGAGCGAACAGACGAGGAGCUUGCUCCUCUGACGUUAGCGGCGGACGGGUGAGUAACACGUGGAUAACCUACCUAUAAGACUGGGAUAACUUCGGGAAACCGGAGCUAAUACCGGAUAAUAUAUUGAACCGCAUGGUUCAAUAGUGAAAGACGGUUUUGCUGUCACUUAUAGAUGGAUCCGCGCCGCAUUAGCUAGUUGGUAAGGUAACGGCUUACCAAGGCAACGAUGCGUAGCCGACCUGAGAGGGUGAUCGGCCACACUGGAACUGAGACACGGUCCAGACUCCUACGGGAGGCAGCAGUAGGGAAUCUUCCGCAAUGGGCGAAAGCCUGACGGAGCAACGCCGCGUGAGUGAUGAAGGUCUUCGGACCGUAAAACUCUGUUAUUAGGGAAGAACAAAUGUGUAAGUAACUAUGCACGUCUUGACGGUACCUAAUCAGAAAGCAACGGCUAACUACGUG